Molecule: ribosomal RNA, 253 nt
Filed under: uncultured bacterium
Lineage: Bacteria
Description: partial 16S ribosomal RNA
Rfam family: Bacterial small subunit ribosomal RNA
Source: RNAcentral
UACGUAGGGUGCGAGCGUUGUCCGGAAUUAUUGGGCGUAAAGGGCUCGUAGGUGGCCAACUAAGUCAGACGUGAAAUCCCUCAGCUUAACUGGGGAACUGCGUCUGAUACUGGAUGGCUUGAGUUUGGGAGAGGGACGCGGAAUUCCAGGUGUAGCGGUGAAAUGCGUAGAUAUCUGGAGGAACACCGGUGGCGAAGGCGGCGUCCUGGACCAACACUGACACUGAUGAGCGAAAGCCAGGGGAGCAAACGGG